This 440-nucleotide ribosomal RNA is filed under the name uncultured bacterium. RNAcentral describes it as "partial 16S ribosomal RNA". It matches the Rfam family "Bacterial small subunit ribosomal RNA", at positions 338 to 795 of the family's 1533-position model. The record is from RNAcentral.
CCUACGGGUGACUGCAGUGGGGGAUAUUGCACAAUGGGGGAAACCCUGAUGCAGCGACGCCGCGUGUGGGAAGACGGUCUUCUGGAUUGUAAACCACUGUCCCCAGGGACGAAAAUGACGGUACCUGGGGAGGAAGCUCCGGCUAACUACGUGCCAGCAGCCGCGGUAAUACGUAGGGAGCAAGCGUUGUCCGGAAUUACUGGGUGUAAAGGGAGCGUAGGCGGGGAUGCAAGUUGGGUGUCAAAACUACCGGCUCAACCGAUAGUCGCACUUAAAACUGCAGCUCUUGAGUGAAGUAGAGGCAGGCGGAAUUCCUAGUGUAGCGGUGAAAUGCGUAGAUAUUAGGAGGAACACCAGUGGCGAAGGCGGCCUGCUGGGCUUUUACUGACGCUGAGGCUCGAAAGUGUGGGGAGCAAACAGGAUUAGAUACCCUAGUAGUC